RNAcentral lists this non-coding RNA (259 nucleotides) under Prunus persica (peach). RNAcentral describes it as "Eukaryotic large subunit ribosomal RNA". It matches the Rfam family "Eukaryotic large subunit ribosomal RNA", at positions 709 to 954 of the family's 3401-position model. Lineage: Eukaryota; Viridiplantae; Streptophyta; Magnoliopsida; Rosales; Rosaceae. The record is from Rfam by way of RNAcentral.
UUAACAUUUAGGAAACCUACAAGGAUGCUUUCUCAAAUGCAAAAUCUGUUUUGUUCAACCCAAAAACAAGAGCCCAUUUUAAGAAAUUUAUAAAAAUUGGAACAGUGUUGGGACUCAAAAGAUGGUGAAUUAUGCAUAAUACAUGAGUGGGAUGAAGCCAGAGAAAACUUGGUGGAGGCCCGCAACAAUACCGAAGUGCAAAUCGUUUGUAUGACUUGAGUAUAAGAGUGAAAGACUAAUUGAAUCAUCAACUAGUUGG